Molecule: ribosomal RNA, 416 nt
Filed under: uncultured Methanosaeta sp.
Lineage: Archaea; Methanobacteriati; Methanobacteriota; Methanomicrobia; Methanotrichales; Methanotrichaceae
Description: bacterial SSU rRNA
Rfam family: Archaeal small subunit ribosomal RNA
Source: RNAcentral
CCGUUAACCGGGACCGAACAGACAAUAUGAGGCCAGGCUGAAGACUUUGCCGGAUUAGCUGAGAGGUGGUGCAUGGCCGUCGUCAGUUCGUACUGUGAAGCAUCCUGUUAAGUCAGGCAACGAGCGAGACCCACGCCCACAGUUGCCAGCGUACUCUCUGGAGUGACGGGUACACUGUGGGACCGCCGCUGCUAAAGCGGAGGAAGGAAUGGGCAACGGUAGGUCAGUAUGCCCCGAAUAUCCCGGGCUACACGCGAGCUACAAUGGUUGGUACAAUGGGUAUCUACCCCGAAAGGGGACGGGAAUCUCCUAAAACCAAUCUUAGUUCGGAUUGAGGGCUGCAACUCGCCCUCAUGAAGCUGGAAUCCGUAGUAAUCGCGUUUCAACAGAACGCGGUGAAUACGUCCCUGCUCCUU